This is a non-coding RNA of Pteronotus mesoamericanus, 459 nucleotides long. Lineage: Eukaryota; Metazoa; Chordata; Mammalia; Chiroptera; Mormoopidae. The record is from the annotation of a RefSeq genome assembly.
AUGAAACUGCUGGGUCUCUUCAUGUGCCUGCUGACAGCCCCCCAGGGUGUCUGGUCCCAGGUGCAGUUGCAGGAGUCAGGCUCAGGACUUGUAAAGCCCUCACAGACCCUCUCCCUCACCUGCACUGUCUCUGGUUACUCCAUCACCAGUGGUUAUGACUGGAGAUGGAUCCGUCAGCCCCCAGGGAAGGAGCUGGAGUGGAUCGGGCACAUAAAUUAUGUUGGAAGCACUCACUACAGCCGGUCCUUCAAGAGCCGAACCUCCAUCUCCAGAGACAGGUCCAAGAACCAUUUCUCCCUGCAGCUGAGCUCCAUAAGCACCGAGGACACGGCUGUGUAUUAUUGUGCAAGAGGCACAGUGAGGGGAAGUCAGCAAGAGCGCAGACACAAACCUCCCUGCAGGAAACAGGAAGUCUGGGCUGCAGCGGGGGCUCAGGCCACCAGAGGAAGUCGUAGUUAA